This 492-nucleotide ribosomal RNA is filed under the name uncultured bacterium. RNAcentral's name for it is "partial 16S ribosomal RNA". It matches the Rfam family "Bacterial small subunit ribosomal RNA", at positions 29 to 507 of the family's 1533-position model. The record is from RNAcentral.
AGUGAACGCUGGCGGUAGGCCUAACACAUGCAAGUCGAACGGCAGCACAGUAAGAGCUUGCUCUUACGGGUGGCGAGUGGCGGACGGGUGAGGAAUACAUCGGACUCUACUUUUUCGUGGGGGAUCACGUAGGGAAACUUACGCUAAUACCGCAUACGACCUACGGGUGAAAGCAGGGGAUCUUCGGACCUUGCGCGAUUGGAUGAGCCGCUGUCGGAUUAGCUAGUUGGCGGGGUAAAGGCCCAGCAAGGCGACGAUCCGUAGCUUGUCUGAGAGGAGGAUCGGCGACACUGGAACUGAGACACGGACCAGAGGCCUAAGGGAGGCAGCAGAGGGGAAUAUUAGACAAUGGGCGCGAGCCUGAUCCAGCCAGACCGCGUGGGUGAAGGAGGCCUUCGGGUUGUAAAGCCCGUUUGUUGGGAAAGAAAAGCAGCAGGUUAAGACCCCGCUGUUGUGACGGUACCCAAAGAAGAAGCACCGGCUAACUACGUG